Molecule: transfer RNA, 68 nt
Filed under: Histioteuthis bonnellii (umbrella squid)
Lineage: Eukaryota; Metazoa; Mollusca; Cephalopoda; Oegopsida; Histioteuthidae
Description: tRNA-Thr
Rfam family: tRNA
About the family: Transfer RNA (tRNA) molecules are approximately 80 nucleotides in length.
Source: RNAcentral
GUUAUAGUAGUUUAACUCAAAACCUUGGUCUUGUAAACCAAAUUUAGAUAUAAAAAAUCUCUAUAACU